This 376-nucleotide ribosomal RNA is filed under the name uncultured bacterium. RNAcentral describes it as "bacterial SSU rRNA". It matches the Rfam family "Bacterial small subunit ribosomal RNA", at positions 28 to 407 of the family's 1533-position model. The record is from RNAcentral.
GACGAACGCUGGCGGCGUGCUUAACACAUGCAAGUCGAACGAUGAAGCCCUUUCGGGGUGGAUUAGUGGCGAACGGGUGAGUAACACGUGGGUGACCUGCCCUCAGCUCUGGGAUAAAGCCUGGGAAGCCGGGUCUAAUACUGGAUAUGACUCCAUGACGCAUGUUGUGGGGUGGAAAGCCUUGUGCGGCUGAGGAUGGGCCCGCGGCCUAUCAGCUUGNGGUGGGGUGAUGGCCUACCAAGGCGACGACGGGUAGCCGGCCUGAGAGGGCGACCGGCCACACUGGGACUGAGACACGGCCCAGACUCCUACGGGAGGCAGCAGUGGGAAUCUUGCGCAAUGGGCGAAAGCCUGACGCAGCGACGCCGCGUGGGGA